This 127-nucleotide small RNA is filed under the name Marmota monax (woodchuck). The record is from RNAcentral. Lineage: Eukaryota; Metazoa; Chordata; Mammalia; Rodentia; Sciuridae.
GCUGAGUGUGGUGGUGCAUGCCUGUAAUCCCAGAGGCUGGGGAGGCUGAGGCAGGAGGAUCAUGAGUUCAAAGCCAGCUUCAGUAACUUAGAGAGGCCCUAAGUGACUCAGCGAGACCCUGUCUCAA